UGCCAGACUCCUACGGGAGGCAGCAGUGAGGAAUAUUGGUCAAUGGUCGGGAGACUGAACCGGCCAAGCCGCGUGAGGGAGGAAGGUACAGAGUAUCGUAAACCUCUUUUGUCAGGGAACAAAGGCGGGGACGUGUCCCCGGAUGAGUGUACCUGAAGAAAAAGCAUCGGCUAACUCCGUGCCAGCAGCCGCGGUAAUACGGAGGAUGCGAGCGUUAUCCGGAUUUAUUGGGUUUAAAGGGUGCGUAGGCGGGACUUUAAGUCAGCGGUAAAAAUGCGGAGCUCAACUCCGUCGAGCCGUUGAAACUGCCGUUCUUGAGUGAGCGAGAAGUAUGCGGAAUGCGUGGUGUAGCGGUGAAAUGCAUAGAUAUCACGCAGAACUCCGAUUGCGAAGGCAGCAUACCGGCGGCGAUCUGACGCUGAGGCACGAAAGCGUGGGUAUCGAACAGGAUUAGAUACCCCUGUAA
This 466-nucleotide ribosomal RNA is filed under the name uncultured bacterium. RNAcentral's name for it is "bacterial SSU rRNA". It matches the Rfam family "Bacterial small subunit ribosomal RNA", at positions 329 to 793 of the family's 1533-position model. The record is from RNAcentral.